UACCAGCUCUCCGAGUGGUGUGGAUGUUUAUUGGGCCUAAAGCGUCCGUAGCUGGCUGGGCAAGUCCCCUGUUAAAUCCACCGAUUUAAUCGUUGGUGUGCGGGGGAUACUGUUCGACUAGGGGACGGGAGAGGCCGACGGUAUUUUCGGGGUAGGGGUGAAAUCCUAUAAUCCCGGGAAGACCACCAGUGGCGAAGGCGGUGUCGGCUAGAACGCGCCCGUCGGUGAGGGAUGAAAGCUGGGGGAGCGAACCGGAUUAGAUACCCGGGUAUCCCAGCUGUAAACGAUGCAGGCUAGGUGUUUGGGCGGCCACGUGCCGCUCUAGUGCCGCAGAGAAGUCGUUAAGCCUGCCGCCUGGGGAGUACGGCCGCAAGGCUGAAACUUAAAGGAAUUGGCGGGGGAGCACCACGAAGGGGUGAAGCUUGCGGUUU
This 431-nucleotide ribosomal RNA is filed under the name uncultured archaeon. Its description in RNAcentral is "bacterial SSU rRNA". It matches the Rfam family "Archaeal small subunit ribosomal RNA", at positions 474 to 903 of the family's 1478-position model. The record is from RNAcentral.